CGAUAGCUCAGUUGGUAGAGCGGGGGACUGUAGAUUUAUAAUUGUGAUCCCUAGGUCGCUGGUUCGAAUCCGGCUCG
Non-coding RNA from Nematostella vectensis (starlet sea anemone), 77 nucleotides. NCBI's taxonomy places the organism in Eukaryota, Metazoa, Cnidaria, Anthozoa, Actiniaria, Edwardsiidae. The record is from Rfam.